RNAcentral lists this long non-coding RNA (4856 nucleotides) under Heterocephalus glaber (naked mole-rat). RNAcentral's name for it is "lncRNA (ENSHGLG00000034201.1)". Lineage: Eukaryota; Metazoa; Chordata; Mammalia; Rodentia; Bathyergidae. The record is from RNAcentral.
UAGCAGGAUUAGAAAACACAAGAUAAAUAUAAAAAUUCAGGUCUACGUAUACUUGCUAUAAAUGGAGAAUUGGAUAUUGAAAUUGAAAAGUUAUGUAGGAGUACAAAGGACCUCAUCUGUGCUGGGGGGGGGGGAUUAUGGCGGCCCAGAAGCCCCAACAUAUUUAAGCUGUAUUUUAACUCUUAGUGACUGUCUCUGUGAGGCCCAUCCCAAUAAAGACAGCUCAUCUAGCACCUCUCCCUCUUUGGCCUCCAGAUCUGAUUUUGAGGUGGUUAAUGGCUUUAUAUUUUCAAGUGCCAUGAGCCUAUUUGAAUCAUUCAAACAUGCCACUGUGCCACUGUCCAAGCUCAACACGCGGGCAUGAGUUUUAGCACUAUUUGUAUUGGAAGGCCGUCAUGUGGCCUGCUUUUUGCUGGUUCCUUCAGGACCCAGAUGUGCUCUAUGUGUGUGUUCCAAGUCUGUCCCCCUUUCCUUAUGAACAUGUUUGGUCUUCAGAGCACUGUAUCUGCCCUCAGGAGACUGUCAUGCAUGAGAAGUGGUGCUGGGAGAGCUAUCACUGCUGAACUGUCGAGCAGACUUAACACUUGAUACUCUGCUCAAGUCACUUUGAUCACUAGAGUCCUCAUCAUGACAAAAUAUAGCACUAUGUGGUUUGGUUCUGGAAACAGUUCGAAAAGAAACAUAGUCCCUGUACCGGCUCGAAUCAAAACUGCCGGCCCGUUUCUUUCCUGUCCGUCUCCGGCCUGACUUAUGGGCAGAGGCUGUCCUGUGGAUUAAGCUAGAGGGUUUGGGUUGAACAUCCCCUUCCUUCUGCUUUCCACCAGUGUCUUUACAAACUUUUGAAUCCACCACAACACUGGUCUUCCCAUUCUGCUCCUCUUUGUUUUCAGCAGUUUUCUCAGGUGGUCUGUUCCUUGGUGCAGGAAACUCAUUUGUGUGGGGGUUUUUAUUAGCUUCUUCAGAUGCAGAGGUGCUAAUUCUCCUCUGAUUGUGUAUCUCAUCAGAGGCUUGAGAAUCCUGGGCUCAGGAGCCCCACUCUUUGAACUCACUUCUAGGACAGUUUUGUCACUAUUAGUCCUUUUAUCACUGGCACAGCUACUCAUCUCCUCUGGGUCAGGACAGGACUCUUUUGGUACUGGGGAUCGAACUCAGGUCAGCAGGAGGUGAAACCACUGAGCUAAAUCCCAGGCCCAAGGACAGGACUCUUUAUUCCCAGUGCUUCUCUUUCCUACUUCAGGAGACUCCUCGCGCUCUGACAAGAUGCUCUCUCUGUGAGUGGAGCUGGUCUGCUCGCUUUUAUAGCUGCUGACAGUACUGUUGGUGUCACGGUCUGUCCCACUGCAGUAGCUCUCUAUUGAUCUGCUACUCCGUGUGCUGAGGCUGUCCAUGUGUUUGUCAGCAUUCAAUGCUUUGUUCUUCCCACUUUUUGUGGGUGGCUGAGAAUUAUUGUUUUUCAGGUCAUCAGCAUGCUGCAGUUCCCCUGGUAGACAAGAACUGUCCACCAAGGAUCCUUUAGACCCAGAAUGAGGCUUAGAAGAUUCUAACUCAGUAACUGGAUCUAACCCACAUCUUUGCUGAUAAAGAGAGAAGUCAUUCAGUAAUGUGUCAGGAAAAGCCACAGCAGAGCUAGAAGUCUGUGGUAUACUUCGUGGCCAGUGAUCUUUCCUACAACAGUGUGAAUGUAAAGAGACUGGAGCUCUGGCCCAGACUUAAACUGAUAUCAUCAGAAGUCUUAGCAGUAUCUGUAUCUCUUUUAAUAACUGCUGCUGUUCCAAGACGAGAGGAACCAGAUCCAAUCUGAUUGCUUGGAUCUAGGCCAGUGUAAGAAUUUUUUGAGCUGCAACGAACUGGAGGUAUAGUCUCUCGAAUGAACUCAGGCAUUUCAAUCCCUCCAACAGGAUCCCUGGAAAGUAUAGUAGUUCACAAUUCUCACAGAAGCAAAUGGUCUACUGCAGUAAGCAAUACACCAAAUUCAGGGAAUCUCUACCUUUAUGCCUUAAUUUCCCCAUCUUGGUGCAUUGCUGUCUUUUCUCCUGGUUGAACAGUUGGUCUUGUCCAGCUUUGGGUCGCUGAUCUGUAAAUUCAUUUGUGUUCCAAUCUAUGACUUCUCCAGCAUCAAGUGCUCUGUGUAGUCGACAGCUGACCAUCUUCAGAACAAUGAAGACAGCAGCUACCACCGGACAAUAAACUCCUACUAUAAUCAUGGAAAAUGGAAGGGCCAUGUAGAGGGUGAAGGGCAGGCGAGCAGAAAGAACGCACAGGUAGAGUUGCAGCGUGUUCACAAAGGUGGCCCGAUGCGAUGCGGGUCGGGUCGUAGUACCAGCCCCCCACUGAGCGUGGCGCACACCCGCUGCCGGAGGAUCUGCAGCCUCUGCGACCUCAUCCACACUCGGCGCUGCAGCCGUGGCCGCCACUGCCACCGCCACUAUCAGCUGGCGCGUGCCCGCCGGCCGCCAGCUUGGGCCUGGGAGCUGGUGACCCGGCGCCCGGCAGGGACACGGGGCUGUGAAACAAUUUUGAAAGGCUCUAACAUUUGUAUCGGUAGAGUCUCAGAAGAAGAGGAGAAAUAGUACAGUGCAGAAAAAAAUAUUUGAAGAGAUAUUGGCUGAAAACUCAAAUACAAUGACAAACAUAAAGCUAUAGACUCAAGAAAAUCAGAAGAGAGGACAGAAGAUGGUUUGCCCAACACAGGAAAGAAAACAGUCUCCCAUUUCUCCCACGUGCACAGGGAGUACUGUUCUUGGAACAUUGAGUGUGUGACCCAUAAUUGCCAAUGGGCUCCCAUGGGGGCCUCCAGCACCUUUUAUCUGGGUACUGCAGCAAUGAGAGAGACCUUAGAUGGUGAUAAGAAUGGAGUAGAGAAAAGAGGGGAGUCUGAGUGGAGGAAGAGUCUGGUGCCAAGUUCAGAGGGUGACUCAGUGGAAACAGAACAGAACAGGUGCUCUCAUAUUGUCUCUCCAAACACUGGAAGGGCCUGAGAUGGCAUAAGGCCUAGCCCACCACUUCACACUGUCAAACCGAAGUGUGGCACUGGGUGUGGCACUGAGUUCUGUUGGCCAGGCUGAGACAAAUAGAAGUCUGUGCAUAUAGAGAUGGUGAAUGGCUCCAGGGUCAGUGGCCUUAUGGCCAUAUAUUAGGCAAAUAAAGCCAAUGGAGGGAAGGAACAAAGAUGCCCAUGAUAUUUACCUUCCCAAAUCAAGGAGGGUGGUCAGAUCCACGGAGGCCUGCAGUGGGUCAUACCCAGGGCACAGCUUGCAACCAGGACAUACGAUUGGAUGGAGCAACAACCCUUAUAACUUCAGGGAAGCAACUGUCUUGCCCACAGGGAAAAACUGCUUGGCUGAUUGCAGUUAGACUGUAACUCCAGUGUGUGUGAAUAUUCUGAGAUAGUGCUGUAACUGUGUAAAGGUUUUAUUUUUAUUUCUAGUUUUAUUUUGGUUGGUAUAAUCAUUGUCUUGUUGCUUCUUUGUUUUAUUUGAGUCAUUUUCUUCCUUAUUAUCCUACUAUUUGCUUUUUCUUCUUUUUUCCUCCAUUCUGGAACUUGCUUCUUUACUAAUAUUGUUCUUUUUAUCACCUCCCUCUUUUUGUCCUUCUCUCUUUUUUUUUUUUGACUCUUUUCCCUUCCUAUUCUUUUUUCUCUUGUCUGCCUCACCUACUUGCAAUUUCCCACCACCUAGCUAGUGGCAUAAAUAUGAGAGAGGCGUGGAGAAGAAUACUAGAAAAUACAAAUUAACCAGUGCCACAAAUGAAAGAGUACCACUCAAGAGCAUAUCAGGGUAAUCCUUAAGAAAAUUGGAUUUAGAGGAUGCAAGCAAAAGUACUUAGAAAUAUAUUAAUAGGUUCUGACAAUCUCACAGCCUCUCUCAAUCUCUAAAUACACUUUCACUCAUCCACAUACCUCCUCCUGGUUUCACAAACAAUCUCCUGAGCCUCCUCAAAGCUAGCCCUUUGUUCCAGCUAUGGAAAUAAUUCCAACAGAAUCCAACUUCCUGUCUAUUUUUACCUACUGAUAUUUCUCUUACCUUCCUCCAUUCCCAUUGACAUGCUCCUUUUCCCCCUUUCCUGUCCCCUUCCCUCACCCUACAUAUCCAGAUGAAUCCCAAAUGGCAGUAUAAUAUAGUCCGUAAGGGAUAUUGACAGAAAGGCAAAAUUAUCAAAACAAGUGUAAAGUUUAUGAUUAUUGCAUGCUUGGAUCUAUUGAUGCUGCUAUAACUGACAGAAAUUCUCCCCUUACAACAUAUUAACAGAGUCCAGCCCAAUUAAAUUGAAUAGGUUGAAGUAAUAAACGAUACUGCUUGACAAAUAAGGCCAAGAACACAUUGCUGUAAAACAUACCUAAAGAGAUCCUCAUAGCAACUAAAAUCUCUCUUCAUUUUUUUUGACAUCAACCCUCAGGAUAUGCACAAAAAAAUAGGAACAUGAGAAAACAAGGCAACAAAAUGCUUCUAAAGACUCUCAAGUCUUCCAAAGCAGACCCAAGGGGCAAUGUUCGAGAGACAGGCAAAUACCAGAAAGCCAAGUUAUAUGAAAUGAUUAAAGAGGAAGGAAAGAAACUUGGGCAUUUCAAAAAGGACAUAACCCAAAAGAUAGUGAAACUAUAAAAUAUCUGAUCAAUGGUGUUUGGAGAAAGUAAUAAAAUUUGGAAGGGUUGACAAAAUGUUUCAAAACAUGAACAACAAAUUUACUAAAGAAAUACAGUCUAUAUUACAUUUUCCAAGUGCAUCCAUUUUCCCACAAAUGUGCCAAAUUUGUUGUUCUUUAUAGCCGAGUAAUAUUCCAUUAUAUAUAGAUACCACAUUUUGUUUAUCCAAUCAUCUGUUGAUGGAUGAUAUAAGUCAGAGUUAUUUGAGUCACAC